AUGCCACCAAGUUGGAUAAGCCUUUUGUUCUCUUUUCUUUCUUCUUGCAGAGCCAUGGAAAUUUAUUUUGAGUAGAAGGGGAGUAUGAACAAGUCAAGCCAGUGACACCACUGAUGUCACAGAAGACUCUGACAAUCUUAGGACAUCUAAUAGUGCUGGGUGAGCCUCCCUUCUCUCUUGCUUCUGUAUGUGUGUGGAGCCAUCACACAAAGUCUAUCGUGAAACUUCACCUACAGGACAACUCAGUUAAUUUUAAACAGGAUGUCUGGAAAAAUCACCAUUUGGACCUACAAUGGUGCUACAGAAAGACAGCCAGGCAAGCAAAGGUGUCAGAGAGGAAUUCACCAUCUCUGCACAACAACCAGCUAACUUACUUUUAUCUACUUUCUCACCAAACUCGCUGUAAGUUCUUGGCACAACCUAAGUCCUUCCAGAUGUUUUUUUUUUUUUACUUGCUCUUUUCCUUGUCCCCAAAUGCUCCUCACUUGGCCCUAUACUCAAUUCAUCAUUUUGCCUGGCUGCUUCCACCAACAACCGCAUCUUAUUUAGAAUGCCACUACCUUGGAGAAAACUUCCAUGAUUUAUCACUUGUAACUGCAUGAAAUUAUUUACUUUUUAAAUACUUAGUGUAUACCUUCCUUUCCUUUCCAUCUCUCUGCUCAUCCAGCCAUGUUAAGCAUAAAAAAGCAAGUCUUCAGCUUCUUAUUCACCAC
RNAcentral lists this long non-coding RNA (713 nucleotides) under Fukomys damarensis (Damara mole-rat). RNAcentral's name for it is "lncRNA (ENSFDAG00000022339.1)". Lineage: Eukaryota; Metazoa; Chordata; Mammalia; Rodentia; Bathyergidae. The record is from RNAcentral.